RNAcentral lists this long non-coding RNA (999 nucleotides) under Capsella rubella. RNAcentral's name for it is "long non-coding RNA (CRUB_LNC004971)". The record is from RNAcentral. Lineage: Eukaryota; Viridiplantae; Streptophyta; Magnoliopsida; Brassicales; Brassicaceae.
CCACUAAUAAUUGCCUGAAGGAAUAUACUGCAUCUUUGUACCAAAGCAAGCCAUCUUUACAAUAAUCACGUUAAAGUUCAACUAUAGUAUCUCCAAUUGAAGCUUUAAAAGCAAUCACUACAAUCGUUUCUCAAAAAUGGUCACAUAUUCAACAUGAAGUUUUAAAAGAAGUGAUAAUGGUCAUAGACCUUCGAAAACAUCGUUUUCCUCAUAACGCCAAAUAAGAGCAGUCUCCAUAGCUUCAUUAUUCAUGUCUUGAAGCUUUGCUUCUGUUGAGUUUUCUCCAAGGGAACGCAUCUCUAUCCCCAUUUCUAUAGUAGUACAACUUAAAACAAGGAUUGGAAAAAGUGAGUCAAAUUAAUGUCGCUCUAUAAACCUUGAAUAGAACAAUUCAAUUUAUAGAACUCAAAGCAAAAAAAACAAGCAAGUCUCUGUACAGAAGCUUUCUACAGCUAGAUCUCCAUAAUGAAAUUAGAACGAAACAUGGAACCAAGAUCCAACUAUAGAAAAAUCAUAUUCAUGAACAAAAACGUUUGAAGGAGUAAGAGGACAAGAUAACAACGUACGGUCACCAUCUUUUUCAAUAAGCUUCCUCAAAAUAAGAGAUUUGAUCGUCGGUGAGAACAAGUCAAUUCAAUUCACAAAACGAUGAUGCCAAAGGAAGACAUAAGAAGGUAAUGUUGGGGAUUGACAAUAUCGAAGGGAGAAAAAGACAGUCAUGCCAGAGGAAGACGAUCUUAGACUAAAGAUGAAAUUGACGAUGUUAGAGGAAGACGGUGACGACAGAGCCACCAGAGAUGAUGGAGCCACCGGAGAUGACGGAGACGACUGAGAUGAUGGAAACACCGGAGAUGGCGGAGACGUCGUUGUAGCUAGAACAAAACCGCUAGAACUCGCCGGAAACAAUAAUGUCGAGUACUGACAGAGAUGAGACGAAUUAUCCGGAUCGAUAAACACAUAAAAUUCACUUAUUUAUAACAGAGGGACAUAAUAGUCUUU